RNAcentral lists this ribosomal RNA (708 nucleotides) under Enterobacter cloacae. Its description in RNAcentral is "bacterial SSU rRNA". It matches the Rfam family "Bacterial small subunit ribosomal RNA", at positions 56 to 755 of the family's 1533-position model. The record is from RNAcentral. RNAcentral also lists the same sequence under 1 other name. Lineage: Bacteria; Pseudomonadati; Pseudomonadota; Gammaproteobacteria; Enterobacterales; Enterobacteriaceae.
UGCAAGUCGAACGGUAGCACAGAGAGCUUGCUCUCGGGUGACGAGUGGCGGACGGGUGAGUAAUGUCUGGGAAACUGCCUGAUGGAGGGGGAUAACUACUGGAAACGGUAGCUAAUACCGCAUAACGUCGCAAGACCAAAGAGGGGGACCUUCGGGCCUCUUGCCAUCAGAUGUGCCCAGAUGGGAUUAGCUAGUAGGUGGGGUAACGGCUCACCUAGGCGACGAUCCCUAGCUGGUCUGAGAGGAUGACCAGCCACACUGGAACUGAGACACGGUCCAGACUCCUACGGGAGGCAGCAGUGGGGAAUAUUGCACAAUGGGCGCAAGCCUGAUGCAGCCAUGCCGCGUGUAUGAAGAAGGCCUUCGGGUUGUAAAGUACUUUCAGCGGGGAGGAAGGUGUUGUGGUUAAUAACCGCAGCAAUUGACGUUACCCGCAGAAGAAGCACCGGCUAACUCCGUGCCAGCAGCCGCGGUAAUACGGAGGGUGCAAGCGUUAAUCGGAAUUACUGGGCGUAAAGCGCACGCAGGCGGUCUGUCAAGUCGGAUGUGAAAUCCCCGGGCUCAACCUGGGAACUGCAUUCGAAACUGGCAGGCUAGAGUCUUGUAGAGGGGGGUAGAAUUCCAGGUGUAGCGGUGAAAUGCGUAGAGAUCUGGAGGAAUACCGGUGGCGAAGGCGGCCCCCUGGACAAAGACUGACGCUCAGGUGCG